GGGUCAGUAGGUUGGUCGUGCCACCGGUACGUACGUGUCUCACUGAUUCCUCCUUCCUGAAGAACCGUAAUGCCAUUAAUUUGGUGUUGCGGGGAAACAGGACUGUUACUUUGAAAAAAUUAGAGUGUUUAAAGCAAGCUAACGCUUGAAUACAUUAGCAUGGAAUAAUGAAAUAGGACGAUCGAUCCUAUUUUGUUGGUUUCUAGGAUUGACGUA
Molecule: ribosomal RNA, 216 nt
Filed under: Glomeromycotina sp.
Lineage: Eukaryota; Fungi; Glomeromycota
Description: partial small subunit ribosomal RNA
Rfam family: Eukaryotic small subunit ribosomal RNA (bases 40-216)
Source: RNAcentral